GGGUAACCUGCCCUAUGCUGGAUAAUAACCUCGGGAAACUGAGAAUAAUGAUCCAUAGUUCACUACGCCUGGAACGGUGAGUGGAUGAAAGCUCCGGCGGCAUAGGAUGGGCCUGCGGCGUAUCAGGUUGUAGGGGGUGUAACGUACCCUCUAGCCCUCUACGCGUACGGGUGUUGGGAGACAUAGCCCGGAGAUGGAUUCUGAGACACGAAUCCAGACCCUACGGGGUGCAGCAGGCGCGAAAACUUGGCAAUGCGAGAAAUCGUGACCAAGGAACUCCAAGUGCAUCGGGUAAGACCGGUGCUUUUCUUGACUCUAAAUAGGUCUUGGAAUAAGGGGUGGGUAAGGACGGUGCCAGCCGCCGCGGUAAUACCGGCGCCUCAAGUGGUAGUCGCUUUUAUUGGGCCUAAAACGUCCGUAGCCGGUCUGAUACAUUCGUGGGUAAAUCAACCAGCUCAACUGGUUGAAUUCUGCGAGGACGGUCAGACUUGGGACCGGGAGAGGUGUGGGGUACGCUCAGGGUAGGGGUAAAAUCCUGUCAUCCUGAGCGGACCACCUGUUGCGAAGGCGCCACACUAGAACGGAUCCGACGGUCAGGGACGAAGCCUAGGGGCACGAACCGGAUUAGAUACCCGGGUAGUCCUAGGUGUAAACGCUGUGGACUUGAUGUUGGGGGUGCUCCGAGCACUCUCAGUGUCGAAGCGAAGGUGAUAAGUCCACUGCCUGGGAAGUACGGUCGCAAGGCUGAAACUU
Molecule: ribosomal RNA, 753 nt
Filed under: uncultured Candidatus Poseidoniales archaeon
Lineage: Archaea; Methanobacteriati; Thermoplasmatota; Candidatus Poseidoniia; Candidatus Poseidoniales
Description: bacterial SSU rRNA
Rfam family: Archaeal small subunit ribosomal RNA
Source: RNAcentral